This 497-nucleotide ribosomal RNA is filed under the name uncultured bacterium. RNAcentral describes it as "partial 16S ribosomal RNA". It matches the Rfam family "Bacterial small subunit ribosomal RNA", at positions 30 to 523 of the family's 1533-position model. The record is from RNAcentral.
AUUGAACGCUGGCGGCAUGCCUUACACAUGCAAGUCGAACGGUAACAGGUCUUCGGAUGCUGACGAGUGGCGAACGGGUGAGUAAUACAUCGGAACGUGCCUAGUAGUGGGGGAUAACUACUCGAAAGAGUGCUAAUACCGCAUGAGAUCUACGGAUGAAAGCAGGGGAUCGCAAGACCUUGUGCUACUAGAGCGGCCGAUGGCAGAUUAGGUAGUUGGUGGAAUAAAAGCUUACCAAGCCGACGAUCUGUAGCUGGUCUGAGAGGACGAUCAGCCACACUGGGACUGAUACACGGCCCAGACUCCUACGGGAGGCAGCAGUGGGGAAUUUUGGACAAUGGGCGAAAGCCUGAUCCAGCAAUGCCGCGUGCAGGAUGAAGGCCUUCGGGUUGUAAACUGCUUUUGUACGGAACGAAAAGCCCCGGGUUAAUACCCUGGGGUCAUGACGGUACCGUAAGAAUAAGCACCGGCUAACUACGUGCCAGCCGCCGCAGUAA